AAUGGGUCAGCGACUUAUAUUCUGUAGCAAGGUUAACCGAAUAGGGGAGCCGAAGGGAAACCGAGUCUUAACUGGGCGUUAAGUUGCAGGGUAUAGACCCGAAACCCGGUGAUCUAGCCAUGGGCAGGUUGAAGGUUGGGUAACACUAACUGGAGGACCGAACCGACUAAUGUUGAAAAAUUAGCGGAUGACUUGUGGCUGGGGGUGAAAGGCCAAUCAAACCGGGAGAUAGCUGGUUCUCCCCGAAAGCUAUUUAGGUAGCGCCUCGUGAAUUCAUCUCCGGGGGUAGAGCACUGUUUCGGCAAGGGGGUCAUCCCGACUUACCAACCCGAUGCAAACUGCGAAUACCGGAGAAUGUUAUCACGGGAGACACACGGCGGGUGCUAACGUCCGUCGUGAAGAGGGAAACAACCCAGACCGCC
Molecule: ribosomal RNA, 422 nt
Filed under: Escherichia coli
Lineage: Bacteria; Pseudomonadati; Pseudomonadota; Gammaproteobacteria; Enterobacterales; Enterobacteriaceae
Description: partial 23S ribosomal RNA
Rfam family: Bacterial large subunit ribosomal RNA
Source: RNAcentral